UACGGUGGGGGCAAGCGUUGUUCGGAAUUACUGGGCGUAAAGGGCUCGUAGGUGGCCAACUAAGUCAGACGUGAAAUCCCUCGGCUUAACCGGGGAACUGCGUCUGAUACUGGACGGCUUGAGUUUGGGAGAGGGACGCGGAAUUCCAGGUGUAGCGGUGAAAUGCGUAGAUAUCUGGAGGAACACCGGUGGCGAAGGCGGCGUCCUGGACCAACACUGACACUGAGGAGCGAAAGCCAGGGGAGCAAACGGG
This 253-nucleotide ribosomal RNA is filed under the name uncultured bacterium. RNAcentral's name for it is "partial 16S ribosomal RNA". It matches the Rfam family "Bacterial small subunit ribosomal RNA", at positions 524 to 776 of the family's 1533-position model. The record is from RNAcentral.